RNAcentral lists this ribosomal RNA (274 nucleotides) under uncultured bacterium. RNAcentral's name for it is "partial 16S ribosomal RNA". It matches the Rfam family "Bacterial small subunit ribosomal RNA", at positions 523 to 796 of the family's 1533-position model. The record is from RNAcentral.
AUACGGAGGGUGCAAGCGUUACUCGGAAUCACUGGGCGUAAAGCGCGCGCAGGCGGCUAUUUAAGUUGGAUGUGAAAGCCUAUGGCUCAACCAUAGAACUGCAUCCAAAACUAUUUAGCUAGAGUGUGGGAGAGGAAGAUGGAAUUAGUCGUGUAGGGGUAAAAUCCGUAGAGAUAACUAGGAAUACCAAAAGCGAAGGCAAUCUUCUGGAACACUACUGACGCUGAGGCGCGAAAGCGUGGGGAGCAAACAGGAUUAGAAACCCGAGUAGUCC